UGUAAUAUACCAGAUUUUGGUAUAAAAAUAAAAGUAAAUAAAAAUAGUGUGAGAUACUAUUUUUAUUUGGUUUUUGAGAAACAAAGUAUAAGUCUAUAAUGACUUGUGCUGAAAUCGGAAUGAAAACAGAAGAUUUAUAAUUUUCUGUUGAAAACGAGACANUCAUAAAAAUAUUCCUGACUUAUCCUCCAAUUUUCAUAAUUUUCUGAGACUGUGCAUUUUCUGCUAAUUUAUCUGUCCCGUUUCCAACAGAAAAUUCUAGAUCUUCUGUUUUCGCUUCGAUUUCAGCACAGGUCACUCCCAACCUAUAUUUCGCUUCUCUAAAUCCGAUAAAAUAGUAUCUCAUACUAUUUUUAUUUAUUUUCACUUUUAUAUUUAAAAUCCGGUAUGUCACAUUCCACCGCAACCUCACCGGAACCGUUUAAAUAGCUUUCUAAUCAAAUGGACACCG
Molecule: long non-coding RNA, 451 nt
Filed under: Ananas comosus (pineapple)
Lineage: Eukaryota; Viridiplantae; Streptophyta; Magnoliopsida; Poales; Bromeliaceae
Description: long non-coding RNA (ACOM_LNC021211)
Source: RNAcentral